CGGGGUCUAAUACCGGAUAUGACUGUCCACCGCAUGGUGGAUGGUGUAAAGCUCCGGCGGUGCAGGAUGAGCCCGCGGCCUAUCAGCUUGUUGGUGAGGUAGUGGCUCACCAAGGCGACGACGGGUAGCCGGCCUGAGAGGGCGACCGGCCACACUGGGACUGAGACACGGCCCAGACUCCUACGGGAGGCAGCAGUGGGGAAUAUUGCACAAUGGGCGAAAGCCUGAUGCAGCGACGCCGCGUGAGGGAUGACGGCCUUCGGGUUGUAAACCUCUUUCAGCAGGGAAGAAGCGAAAGUGACGGUACCUGCAGAAGAAGCGCCGGCUAACUACGUGCCAGCAGCCGCGGUAAUACGUAGGGCGCAAGCGUUGUCCGGAAUUAUUGGGCGUAAAGAGCUCGUAGGCGGCUUGUCACGUCGGUUGUGAAAGCCCGGGGCUUAACCCCGGGUCUGCAGUCGAUACGGGCAGGCUAGAGUUCGGUAGGGGAGAUCGGAAUUCCUGGUGUAGCGGUGAAAUGCGCAGAUAUCACGAGGAACACCGGUGGCGAAGGCGGAUCUCUGGGCCGAUACUGACGCUGAGGAGCGAAAGCGUGGGGAGCGAACAGGAUUAGAUACCCUGGUAGUCCACGCCGUAAACGGUGGGCACUAGUGUGGGCAACAUUCCACGUUGUCCGUGCCGCAGCUAACGCAUUAAGUGCCCCCGCCUGGGGAGUACGGCCGCAAGGCUAAAACCCCAAAGGA
Molecule: ribosomal RNA, 740 nt
Filed under: Streptomyces sp.
Lineage: Bacteria; Bacillati; Actinomycetota; Actinomycetes; Kitasatosporales; Streptomycetaceae
Description: bacterial SSU rRNA
Rfam family: Bacterial small subunit ribosomal RNA
Source: RNAcentral